UACGAAGGGGGCUAGCGUUGCUCGGAAUCACUGGGCGUAAAGGGUGCGUAGGCGGGUCUUUAAGUCAGGGGGGAAAUCCUGGAGCUCAACUCCAGAACUGCCUUUGAUACUGAAGAUCUUGAGUUCGGGAGAGGUGAGUGGAACUGCGAGUGUAGAGGUGAAAUUCGUAGAUAUUCGCAUGAACACCAGUGGCGAAGGCGGCUCACUGGCCCGAUACUGACGCUGAGGCACGAAAGCGUGGGGAGCGAUCCGG
This 253-nucleotide ribosomal RNA is filed under the name uncultured bacterium. Its description in RNAcentral is "partial 16S ribosomal RNA". It matches the Rfam family "Bacterial small subunit ribosomal RNA", at positions 524 to 776 of the family's 1533-position model. The record is from RNAcentral.